UACGUAGGUGGCAAGCGUUGUCCGGAAUUAUUGGGCGUAAAGCGCGCGCAGGCGGUUCCUUAAGUCUGAUGUGAAAGCCCACGGCUCAACCGUGGAGGGUCAUUGGAAACUGGGGAACUUGAGUGCAGGAGAGGAGAGUGGAAUUCCUGGUGUAGCGGUGAAAUGCGCAGAUAUCAGGAAGAACACCCGUGGCGAAAGCGGCUCUCUGGAACGGUACUGACGCUGAGACGCGAAAGCGUGGGGAGCGAACAGG
Molecule: ribosomal RNA, 253 nt
Filed under: uncultured bacterium
Lineage: Bacteria
Description: partial 16S ribosomal RNA
Rfam family: Bacterial small subunit ribosomal RNA
Source: RNAcentral